AUGUUCAAGUUGUGCAACAUGAAGCCAGCUUUGCCAACCACUUUCCCUAUGCCAGACUUCCAUGAGCGAGAGUUGUGUGACAAAAUUGAUUUUGUUGUUGACCAGAAUCUGUUCUUCUUGAGUGAGGCUGAAAAGAAUCCAAUUGACAUGGAGGAAGUAGGGAAGGGUCUUGAUUGGGUUCAUUCAAAGCAGAAAUACAAGGAAUAUUUGAAGCAGCUUCCAGAUAUCAGCUCCAGCAAGAGCAAGGCAGCAUCUAUGGCAAACCUUCAUGUGGUCCAGAAGAGCAAAGGAGUUACAAUGAAGAAGAAUCUGAAGUUGCCUCAAACCAAGCAACAGAUGCCGAGGGCUGAUGCAGAAAUAAAUGUGGACAAGGAAGUUGUGGUGCAAACUGUUGUACCAACUAUUAAGGGGAAGAUUCCUUUGUCAACAGCCCCACCUAAACCAGCUAAGCAGCAAAAGAUUGUCAAGUUUGCCAAGGGCACAAAGGAGGAACAGGCCAGAAAAGGUGUGGGGUCCAGACACGAGACAGAACAACGUGCCACAGCCAUUGAUGCGGGACUGCCAAGUUCUACUAGUUUGGUGUCAACUCAGGCUACAAAGGUGCCAACUGCAGAUACCAGUGUACUAACUGAAGUGGUCAUAGUCAAAACUAGCAGAGUUGCUCGGGAAGACUCAACUGCAACCACAAGCCCCAAGGUGACAAUUCAUAGAGAUUCUUCAAUGCCAAACGCGGAAGGAGGUUGUCAAUCUGUCAAAUUGCCAUCUCCAAGAGUUAUCACAGAGCAUCCAAGCAAGUCUGCAUCACCAAGAGCUGAUUUUCAGAACACAUUAACACAAGAGGAGGUGUUCGACAUUGUAAUCAGGUGCAAGCCUCCCAAGACGCCAACCACAACAUUACUGCGAACUAGGUCACCGAAUGAUGCACAUGUGAAUGUGCCGCAAGAAGAUAGUGAUGUAAUUGGGUAG
RNAcentral lists this ribosomal RNA (966 nucleotides) under Triticum aestivum (bread wheat). RNAcentral describes it as "partial small subunit ribosomal RNA". Lineage: Eukaryota; Viridiplantae; Streptophyta; Magnoliopsida; Poales; Poaceae. The record is from RNAcentral.